GCGGCACUGGAGACUCAAGCCCUCUAUCCACAGAACAGGUAUCAGCUUAGGCAGCCUCCGUGCAAGCUCCCUCAGCAACCUGCUAACAUAGCCCUGACCUGGAGAGACCCGUGACUGGAGGGGCAAAAGGACGGCUGUCUCCAUAGUCAAUGGUGUUUGUCACAU
Molecule: small RNA, 165 nt
Filed under: Chrysemys picta bellii (western painted turtle)
Lineage: Eukaryota; Metazoa; Chordata; Testudines; Emydidae
Description: TUC338 (ENSCPBG00000005836.1)
Source: RNAcentral